GGAAGGAGACUCACGGAAGGACGCGGAUGGAAGGAGGUGGACGGAAGUAGGCCGAAGGAAGGAAGCUGAAGGAAGGAAUUGUAUGGAAGGAGGCGGACGGAAGGAAUCGUACAGAAGGAGGCUGAGGAAGGAGGCUAAAGGAAGGAGGCGGAUGGAAGGAGGCUGAAGGAAGGAGGCGGACGGAAGGAGGCUGAGGGAAGGAGGCGGACGGAAGGAAGCUGAUGGAACACUGGGACAUUGUAACUGGCCUGUAACAUCAGCAGACCUCAGUCACCUGUGGGGUCAUUUAAAACAGCAAGUGAACCACAAGUGACAGGAUUGCUGCUGUUAUUUAGGUGAGAGGAAGAGUAACCAUGUAUCCCAGAAGAAAUGAAACACGCAACUCAUUUUUGGUCUGGGGAGCUUAUUGUAAAGACACAGUAUUUCUGAUUAUCAACGCAGUACUCCUAGGUGUUGAUUUCCAAAUAGAGUAAAAUAAAUUUGCUCUAAAAUUAUUUAAGGUCUUCUAGUUCAGUUUAUGGAGGGCAUGGUGGCUUAGAUCGUAGUACGUUUGCCUGGCACCUCCGUGGUUGGGGGUUCGAAUCCUGCGUCUGCCCGGUGUGUGCGGAGUUGGCAUUCUCUCGUUGUACUCCGAGGGUUUCCUCCGGUUUCCUCCUCCAGUCCAAAGACAUGUGUUGUAGGCUGAUUGGAAUUUCCAAAUUGUCCGUAGUGUGUGAAUAGGUGUGUGAUUGUGCCCUGUGAUGGGUUGGCACCCCGUCCAGGGUGUCCCCCGCCUCGUGCCCCGAGUUCCCUGGUAUAGUCUCCAGGCUCCCCUGCGACUUUGUGUGGGAUAUGCAGUACAGAAGAUGGAUGGAUAGUCCAGUUUAUAAUCACAUUAAAAACCAAUCCAACUGAGCACAUUAAAUGACUGAUUCAUGACCGCGAGUUUUCCCCCCAUCAUCACAUUAUUUACACAGAAUAUUUAAGUAUAUUGGAUAGAUGUUUUUUGGGACAAUUUUUAUUUCAUGAUUUAUUUUAUUAAAAAGGAGUUUGUUUAGAGAGACACCACAGAGAUUAUAGUUAUUAGCUGUUCAUGACAGACAAGGAUUUUGACGUUUGAGUAAACAAACAGUAAAGUUAAACAUUUUGGUUGUGGACUACACGACUGUAUUGGAAUCACUCACGUAAACAGAAUUGUUGCGUUUCCUCGUUAAUAAGAGUGUGCUGGAUCCACCAUCAUUUCAUUAUCGAGGAAUGUCUUAAUAAUGUUAAGCUCCAUCUGAGUGAUACCCAAGUUUUGGUAAUGUCCUGCAGGCUGGCCAAGGUGUCCAGUGAUGACCUGCGUCAGCUUCGUCCGUCUACGGAUCGGUCUUCAGAUACUUUCAUCAUCACUCAUGUCCCAAAUCUGGAACGCAAAAUAGAAAGAAAAGAAUGUUGAAAUGGUGUAUGUAAAGAAUGAAACAUGACGGGGUGUGCUGUUAUAGGAAAUAAUAACAGCCUGAUGCAUCUUUAAUAAUUAAAGAACAACUUGUCAUACUUUUUAUCCAUUUAUAGUCACAUUUAAAGCUGUGGAAUGUCCACAAAACAAGUUAGCUAGUGGUAUCAAUUGUG
Molecule: long non-coding RNA, 1590 nt
Organism: Ictalurus punctatus (channel catfish)
Lineage: Eukaryota; Metazoa; Chordata; Actinopteri; Siluriformes; Ictaluridae
Source: Ensembl